Molecule: ribosomal RNA, 881 nt
Filed under: Cercospora cf. chenopodii CBS 132677
Lineage: Eukaryota; Fungi; Ascomycota; Dothideomycetes; Mycosphaerellales; Mycosphaerellaceae
Description: eukaryotic LSU rRNA
Rfam family: Eukaryotic large subunit ribosomal RNA
Source: RNAcentral
CUUAAGCAUAUCAAUAAGCGGAGGAAAAGAAACCAACAGGGAUUGCCCUAGUAACGGCGAGUGAAGCGGCAACAGCUCAAAUUUGAAAUCUGGCGCAAGCCCGAGUUGUAAUUUGUAGAGGAUGCUUCUGGGUAGCGACCGAUCUAAGUUCCUUGGAACAGGACGUCAUAGAGGGUGAGAAUCCCGUAUGUGACCGGCCCGCACCCUUUACGUAGCUCCUUCGACGAGUCGAGUUGUUUGGGAAUGCAGCUCUAAAUGGGAGGUAAAUUUCUUCUAAAGCUAAAUACCGGCCAGAGACCGAUAGCGCACAAGUAGAGUGAUCGAAAGAUGAAAAGUACUUUGGAAAGAGAGUUAAAAAGCACGUGAAAUUGUUGAAAGGGAAGCGCCUGCAACCAGACUUCGCGGCAGUGUUCCGCCGGUCUUCUGACCGGUUCAUUCUCUGUCGCGAGGCCAUCAUCGUCUGGGCCCGCCGGAUAAGACCUGAGGAAUGUGGCUCCCCCUCGGGGGAGUGUUAUAGCCUCUGGUGAUGCGGCGUGGCUCGGGCGAGGUCCGCGCUUCGGCAAGGAUGAUGGCGUAAUGGUUGUCGGCGGCCCGUCUUGAAACACGGACCAAGGAGUCUAACAUCUAUGCGAGUGUUCGGGUGUCAAACCCCUACGCGUAAUGAAAGUGAACGGAGGUGGGAACCGUAAGGUGCACCAUCGACCGAUCCUGAUGUCCUCGGAUGGAUUUGAGUAAGAGCAUAGCUGUUGGGACCCGAAAGAUGGUGAACUAUGCCUGAAUAGGGUGAAGCCAGAGGAAACUCUGGUGGAGGCUCGCAGCGGUUCUGACGUGCAAAUCGAUCGUCAAAUUUGGGUAUAGGGGCGAAAGACUAAUCGAACCAU